UACAGAGGUCUCAAGCGUUGUUCGGAUUCAUUGGGCGUAAAGGGUGCGUAGGCGGCGCGGUAAGUCGGGUGUGAAAUCUCGGGGCUUAACUCCGAAACUGCAUUCGAUACUGCCGUGCUUGAGGACUGGAGAGGAGACUGGAAUUUACGGUGUAGCGGUGAAAUGCGUAGAUAUCGUAAGGAACACCAACGGCGAAGGCAGCUCGCUGGGACGUGACUGACGCUGAGACGCGAAAGCGUGGGGAGCAAACAGG
Molecule: ribosomal RNA, 253 nt
Filed under: uncultured bacterium
Lineage: Bacteria
Description: partial 16S ribosomal RNA
Rfam family: Bacterial small subunit ribosomal RNA
Source: RNAcentral